GCAAACUUGGUCAUUUAGAGGAAGUAAAAGUCGUAACAAGGUCUCCGUUGGUGAACCAGCGGAGGGAUCAUUACCGAGUUUACAACUCCCAAACCCCAAUGUGAACGCUACCAAACCGUUGCCUCGGCGGGAUCUCUGCCCCGGGCGCGUCGCAGCCCCGGAUCCCACGGCGCCCGCCGGAGGAAAACCCCCAAAAAAAACCCUUUGCAUGCCCCCUCGCGGGCUCUUCCUGACCUCUGAGCACAAUCUCGGCGCCCCUGACAGGGCGUUCCGAAAAUGAAUCAAAACUUUCAACAACGGAUCUCUUGGUUCUGGCAUCGAUGAAGAACGCAGC
RNAcentral lists this unclassified non-coding RNA (334 nucleotides) under uncultured fungus. RNAcentral describes it as "partial contains small subunit ribosomal RNA, internal transcribed spacer 1, and 5.8S ribosomal RNA". The stretch from base 1 to 73 matches the Rfam family "Eukaryotic small subunit ribosomal RNA", at positions 1759 to 1831 of the family's 1831-position model. Lineage: Eukaryota; Fungi. The record is from RNAcentral.